RNAcentral lists this ribosomal RNA (492 nucleotides) under uncultured bacterium. Its description in RNAcentral is "partial 16S ribosomal RNA". It matches the Rfam family "Bacterial small subunit ribosomal RNA", at positions 29 to 507 of the family's 1533-position model. The record is from RNAcentral.
AGUGAACGCUGGCGGUAGGCCUAACACAUGCAAGUCGAACGGCAGCACAGUAAGAGCUUGCUCUUACGGGUGGCGAGUGGCGGACGGGUGAGGAAUACAUCGGAAUCUACUUUUUCGUGGGGGAUAACGUAGGGAAACUUACGCUAAUACCGCAUACGACCUACGGGUGAAAGCAGGGGAUCUUCGGACCUUGCGCGAUUGAAUGAGCCGAUGUCGGAUUAGCUAGUUGGCGGGGUAAAGGCCCACCAAGGCGACGAUCCGUAGCUGGUCUGAGAGGAUGAUCAGCCACACUGGAACUGAGACACGGUCCAGACUCCUACGGGAGGCAGCAGUGGGGAAUAUUGGACAAUGGGCGCAAGCCUGAUCCAGCCAUACCGCGUGGGUGAAGAAGGCCUUCGGGUUGUAAAGCACUUUUGUUCGGAAAGAAAAGCAGCAGGUUAAUACCCCGCUGUUCUGACGGUACCCAAAGAAUAAGCACCGGCUAACUUCGUG